RNAcentral lists this long non-coding RNA (737 nucleotides) under Homo sapiens (human). RNAcentral describes it as "non-protein coding lnc-WNK1-1:5". Lineage: Eukaryota; Metazoa; Chordata; Mammalia; Primates; Hominidae. The record is from RNAcentral.
GCUUGCUCACACCUGCUUUUACUCUGUGAGUUGUACUUUUGCUUCUUCAAUAAAUCUGUGCCUUUGUUACUCCGUUCUUUUGUUGUUUUGCUUGUGCGUUUUGUUUAAUUCUUUGUUUGAAACCCCAAGAACCUGGACAACUCACAGUCAAGACCUUCCGUCCGGUAACAAAGCAACAGACCUCAGUCAUGUCAUCUGCUUACAAAGGAGCCACGGGUAUCGCUCUGCCUCCCAGGCUGGAGUGCAGUGGCACAAUCACAGCUCACUGCAGCCUCGACCUUCUCGGCUCAAGCAAUCCUCCUACCUCAGCCUCCUGAGUAGCUGGGAUUGCAGGCAUUCAUCACCACACCCAGAAAUCCAUUGCUUGCUAAUGUUUGUUUGUUUGUUUUUGGAGCUGGUGUCUGGAGCUGGUUCUCCACCUGUUGUGAGUUCCUGGAAAGAUCUCAAGACCUAUCCCAUUUUCCUCCUAGUGAAGGUUGAUAUUCAUAAUAGUUGACACUCAGUACAGCACAGACACCGACCAAUUCAAACUGACAGAGGUCUUAAGCAAUUUUCAUGACAAUAUUGGUGUAUAGAGCUGAAUAUUUGUUCUACACAUAGAAGGCAUCCAAUAAAAAAUUUUGAAUUGAAUUUUAUUGGUUUAGUAGUCCUGGCUGUGGUAUCUAAUGGCCUUCUUUCAGAAGUCAGGCAGCUUUUAAUUUUUUUGUCCAAAUAUGAUCAUAAUGAUUUCUUUUCCU